CUAGAGGCUUGUAGAACAUUCUGAACCUCUCUGCCAAGGGGGACACUGACAAACUGGAUGCCACCACUUCCUGCUGGUUACAUCUCUUCAGAAAUACGAAAUUUCUAGUGGCUGACUACUGUGAAUUCUUGCUACAAUCCCCCUGGAACUUUUUAGAAGAUGAACAGCUGGGCCUUGUUGUGUGCAAUCUUUCUGUCCUCAAAGCUGUUGGACCUAACUAGAUUCGGGCUCAUCUUUGACAAUUAAGCAUCUGACUUCGGCUCAGGUCAUGAGUGCACCGUUCGUGAGUUCGAGUCCCACAUCGGGUGAGCACGAGCCCUGCUUCAGGUACAACAUGAGUCCCCAGGUUCCAGAGAGCUUCCAUAUCUGCCGUCAACGGAGAUGCAGAGAGUAUGAUGGAAACAGGUUAAGUGACUUCGUUCCGAGGUAACGACCAGCGAGAGGCAGAGCUGAGCCACCAGCCAGACCACCAGACUCAGGCCAGCACCCCCCUCCUCCAUAUGGUGGGAGGCACACUCUUCAAUGCACAAGAAGCCGCUUCAAAAACACCCAUUUAUUUGAUGUAAGUACCAACAGGAUCCAGUGCAGACAGACCUUUCCCGUCGGCCUUUGGCAGACCACCAGAGAAGUCAGGGGUCACACUUCUGUGCCCAAUCAGGUCAACCUCCGGCUCUUGUAAACGUCCAUUACAGCUAACCACCCUCUAAAAAGGCUUAGUAUAAACAAAGACAAAUUUUUAAAACACAAGAAGAGUGCAGUCUCAGAGAAGUUACCACCCAGACAAAAAGGAAGAUGCAACCCAAGUUUCCAGAGAUCAGAAUUUCAAAUUAAUUUCCAGUACAUCUUAGCAACACAAGAGUGAGGUUUUCGAGAAGGAAUGGCCAAAGCAGGAAACACCGACAAAUAAAUCCAUACACUAGCAGGUGUCAUAUAAAACAUCGACUUCCAAAAGCAAGCCCAUCACCUGUAUACCUGUCAUUGGCCAAAAGGUGACUACAGUACAAAUGAGCUUCAUAUAAAACGCUUCAUAAUAAGCCUAUCAUAUAUUCCCACCAAAAAAGCC
Molecule: long non-coding RNA, 1063 nt
Organism: Panthera uncia (snow leopard)
Lineage: Eukaryota; Metazoa; Chordata; Mammalia; Carnivora; Felidae
Exons: 3
Source: RefSeq, a predicted model, not a curated record